RNAcentral lists this ribosomal RNA (528 nucleotides) under Triticum aestivum (bread wheat). Its description in RNAcentral is "partial small subunit ribosomal RNA". Lineage: Eukaryota; Viridiplantae; Streptophyta; Magnoliopsida; Poales; Poaceae. The record is from RNAcentral.
GAACAAAGCUACGGGGUAUCUCCAACGAUAGCACCAGUGUAGCCAAGAUGGAUCCCUCCACCAGAAGGAAGAGCAAAAAUAUGAGUCGAUGGGGCUGUUUCCAGAGAUGGUAAUGUUGGUUCCUUCAGUGCUGUCUGCAGAAACUCUUCAGGUGCAUACUUGGGCGCUUCAGUUAUCAAGAUCUAUGGAGUUUCGGAUCCGGUGAUGCAGGAAGCAUUGGCGUGUCGCGAGGCACUUGCUCUCGCUACUGACCUGGACCUUGCUCGUAUUCUCGUAGCAAGUGACAGCCAAGGUGUAGUCAACGACAUCAAGAACCGCACCGGGGGUGCCUACGCCAGCACCACCAGGGAGAUUGUGGAAACAUCGGUUAGUUUUGAUAGUUGCACCUUCAUCUUUGAAGGUAGGGCAACUAAUGUUGAGGCAUAUAGCCUCGCUAAGCAUGCUUUCGGUUUGGAUUAUGGGCGCCAUGUGUGGCUGUUAAACCCUCCAAACAUUUCUUGUAUCCCUAUGAACAUUAUUGAACAAUAA